CUGUGAAAAGUUUCAGAUUUAAAGUGGAGGAAUCUGUCCAGGGGUGUAGGCACAAGAUCUAGGGGCCUUUGUAUGGCAGAACCGCCCAAAUUAACCUGACUAAAAUGCAUUGAAGUCGCUUGAUACGCGAUUAUGCACUUUAAGCAAGUCAACUUGGUCGACCGUCGGAUUUCAUCCGAUUAACCACAUAAACAGGAUCGAGAAGCAUCGCUCACGCGAAGGUGAGUAGCACAGAGGUUACAACAUUCCAUCACGACAACAAGUUCCACAUUUUAUUACAUCAGAGUUUUCGAAAUUCAGACCGAAAUUUGCAAGGUUCGAAGUCAAAUAAAACUAGCGGAAGCUAAAUGUCGAUACAUGACAUCACGAC
RNAcentral lists this long non-coding RNA (370 nucleotides) under Setaria viridis. RNAcentral describes it as "long non-coding RNA (SVIR_LNC007938)". The record is from RNAcentral. Lineage: Eukaryota; Viridiplantae; Streptophyta; Magnoliopsida; Poales; Poaceae.